CCCUACAAAAAGACCACAAGAUAGAACAGAGGAGGCCAAGCACAGUCAUGUGUACCAACGCAGAGUCCGCCACACUGCGGAGCAGCUCAGAGGGCCCAGCCUGAAGGCCCCAGUAACUAGGCUGUCAUCUGCCCCCCACACUCCCCGGACACAGCUUCUAUUCCCCUUUAUUUUUAUGUUUUGUUUUUGAGUUUACUAUUUUACACAAGGCCAAUGGGCAAGUUCAGAUUCUUCUAGAAAACAUAGCAGAUACGGGAACUUCUGUGAUUUUUUUUAAAAAGAGAGAUGGGCUGUGGUUUCAUAGUGCUCAACAUGGCAAUUGCUCAUACAGAUGUGGCUUUGACCAGUUUCCCACACACAUGCACACACAUCAAAAAAUGUUAAAUUAUUUGAGAACAUUUGAGACCCUUAAGUCACUUGCUAGGCUGUAAAAUCAAUUUCUACACUGCUCUAAGAAAUACUGACUUGUUCUUCAUUUGGAGAUUUCUUCAGCUGUUUCAUUUAAGUCCACUUGUAUGAAAUACAUGUCUAUGUUUACAGGUUUCCAAAGACUUCUUUUGAAUUAUAACAAGAUUAACCAGAAUUUACUUUUGAGGUUGGAAUGAACUGGAAAGAGGAAUCCGUCCUUUCCUCCCCCUCCGGACGAGCUCAAGCCCUAGUGUAAAUGAGGACAGCUGUGAACGCCUACAGCACCAGCCCGUGGCUGAAGCAGGAGGAUGGCUGUGAAUGCCUACAGCACCAGCCCGUGGCUGAAGCAGGAGGAUGGCUGUGCACGCCUACAGCACCACCCCGUGGCUGAAGCAGGAGGACGGCUGUGAACGCCUACAGCACCAGCCUGUGGCUGAAGCAGGAGGACGUUCUUUAUCAAACUGUAGCAUUGUGCUGUGAGAUUGUGAGCCCCCUCUGAUGAGGAAACUGGUUAACAAUGGCUAAAAGAAGCACCUGAGAGCCUGAGUCUGGGACAGACCUGUGAAGCUCAGCCCUGGCUGCUGCCAUAGAGCUUUUGAGCAAUUCUGAGUGGUCCUUCUGCAUCCCCGAGUCUUUUACGAUUUCUGGCAAGAGUUUGUGGGUGAGUUUUCAAGUAAGGCCUUGAAGGGAACCAGAGAGUGGGGCUCUCACAUUCUUGCAUCGAUGUGCUAGACAUUCAUUGCAAGACUAUUAACACCAGUAUUCAGAAUGAUUUGUUCUGUCAAGUGCUUUUCUUGGGAAAUAUGGUUAGUUCUUCAAACGCUUCUGAGAGACUAAGGAAUUCUGGUAAAGACAGUAUUGAUCUUAGUCUUCCAACUCAAGUAGAAAAAGAGCUUGGAUAGAAACACCCAUCAGUGCUAGGGUGCUGCCAAAACCUCACUCCUCCCUGUCACAUGACAGCUGGAAAGAACAGGCCUGAACGCUGAGAGGCGCUCUAAACACUGGUUUGACUUCCAGGCAAUACAAAGACAGGCAGCUUAGGAGUGACCCCCACGGAAUCGCAGGGGAGGAUGAGGCCUCGAAGGUAUGAGGUUCCUUUUAGAAGAAGGGAAACAUUGUGGUAAUGGUCUGACAAUUCGGUGAACGUGUCAGGAGUCAAUGAACCAUAUUCUUUGCACUAUAUUUUAAUAGCAGUGUUAAAGACAACAAUGUACUUCUAUUUAAUUCUAAAAUGAAAAAUCUAUUUAAUAUUAUAAUAUUAUAAGCCAAAGACUUAUUUU
Mus musculus (house mouse) is the source of this 1688-nucleotide long non-coding RNA. RefSeq annotates it as predicted gene, 34326. The transcript is spliced from 3 exons. The record is from RefSeq and is a predicted model, not a curated record. NCBI's taxonomy places the organism in Eukaryota, Metazoa, Chordata, Mammalia, Rodentia, Muridae.